Pseudanabaena biceps PCC 7429 is the source of this 72-nucleotide non-coding RNA. NCBI's taxonomy places the organism in Bacteria, Bacillati, Cyanobacteriota, Cyanophyceae, Pseudanabaenales, Pseudanabaenaceae. The record is from Rfam.
GCCGAUGUAGCACAGGGGUAGUGCAGCUGAUUCGUAAUCAGCAGGCCGUGAGUUCAAAUCUCAUCAUCGGCU